Molecule: transfer RNA, 77 nt
Filed under: Osedax symbiont Rs1
Lineage: Bacteria; Pseudomonadati; Pseudomonadota; Gammaproteobacteria; Oceanospirillales; Oceanospirillaceae
Also listed under: 1 other name
Description: tRNA-Pro
Rfam family: tRNA
About the family: Transfer RNA (tRNA) molecules are approximately 80 nucleotides in length. Their secondary structure includes four short double-helical elements and three loops (D, anti-codon, and T loops). Further hydrogen bonds mediate the characteristic L-shaped molecular structure. tRNAs have two regions of fundamental functional importance: the anti-codon, which is responsible for specific mRNA codon recognition, and the 3' end, to which the tRNAs corresponding amino acid is attached (by aminoacyl-tRNA synthetases). tRNAs cope with the degeneracy of the genetic code in two manners: having more than one tRNA (with a specific anti-codon) for a particular amino acid; and 'wobble' base-pairing, i.e. permitting non-standard base-pairing at the 3rd anti-codon position.
Source: RNAcentral
CGGGGUAUAGCGCAGUUUGGUAGCGCACUUGUCUGGGGGACAAGUGGUCGCAGGUUCAAAUCCUGCUACUCCGACCA